AACCAGAGUGAUAGAGUAAACGCAGAGGCAUUGUUUGGCUCGAGAAUAAGGGGGGAAUAAGUACUUGUUCGUAUUUUUGUUCCCGUUUGAUAUCCGAGAACAGUAGUUCUUAAGUUUUUGAAAUAAAGCUGUAACUGCUGUUCCACUUUUUUUUCUGAAACAAUCUUGUUCCCAAAUAGGAACAACGUUAAUUAAAAUCUAAAUUUAAAUUUAAUUAUGAUAUUAAACCAUUAAUUAAUCUAACUAAUAUAUUUAAAUCAUUAUUUGUUAUUUAAAUAAUAAAAUAAUUAAUUAAUUUAUUAUUUAUAAUUAAUUAUUAAUAAUUUAAUGUAUUUGUUUAUAAACUAAUAUUUAUAUUGAUCCACCAUUAAUAUUUUAUUAAUCUAAUUAAUUUUUUUUUUACUAGUUAUAUAGCUAAAAUAAUUUACUACCUAAUUAAAAAGUUAAAUUAUUUUUAUAAUAAUUAAUUAAUUAAUAUAUUUUUAUUAUCUUNCUAAAAUAAUUUACUAACCAUCCAAAUACUAUUUAUCUUAUUUUUAGGAGUAACUUAAUUUUCAUCCAAACGCAAAAUUGGUUUAGUUACUAUUUAUCUUAUUUUUAGGAGUAACUCAAUUUUCAUCCAAACGCAAAAUUAGUUUAGUUAAUGUUUAUAUUUAUUACUGAAAUAAAAAAUUCUUACUUAAAUCCGAACCAAAUGUAACCAGAUGGAAUUAAAUAUUAAUAAUUUUGCCCUAUUAGGUUGCAAAACGCCCACAAGUGAGAAAGAGCGACCAACUAGCGAAAACUUUAAAAGUUAGGAAAGCAAAGCUACCAAGAAUAUAAAAGGGUAAUUUUAUAGAGAUAUAAUAACAGGGUUUUUUUUUUGUGACCAAGUUUGUAGAAUUUUUUAAUUUUAAGAAUAGGCAUAUGAUAGUUUUAUUUAUAAAACAAGAUUUAAGCGGUGAAUGAUUUAUAAUAUUUAGAAAGCGAUAAAUUUUUUUUAGCGCUUUUACUAAAUUUAUAUUAUUUUUAUAUCUGAAUUUUGAAAGAUGUAUAAUAUUAGAUCUUAAAAGUAAUUGCAAUAUUAGAACUAAUUACUGGUAGAAUGUAUCGGUUCAUUAUAUUUUUUUUUACUUUUAUUGUUUUGUUGAGAAUUUGUAUCUGCAAGCUAUCCUAGAUUAAAAUAAAUAAAUUAAAUCUUUGUAAUGUCUACGUGGCGUUCUAUAAUUUUUAGGAUUAAUUACAUACGGGUUCAUGCAAACAUAGUAAAUUAUAAAUAUAUUCAUACAUAGUUUAACUUUCAUAUGUUGUUUCUAUAAAAGUACUGAUAUUUUCAAAUAUGUCCCGACCGUUAGAAAUUGUUAGAAAAAUAUAAUUAAUAAUAGAUUAAAUAUUUAAUAAUAGUUAGCUAAUGAGAUGAAUUGAUUUUUUUAUCCCUCUUCAAUUAACAGUUGAAAUUUUUGAAGGGACAUAUUUGUGAUGAUAAAAAAGUCAUUUCACUUAUAAAAUAGAUAUUACUUUAAUGGUAACAAAUCAGAAGAACAUAUUUGAAAAUAUAAGAAAUUUUAUAGGAAUAAUAUAUAAAAGUUGAACUUUGUAGAGAUAUAUUUAUAAUUUACUAUAUUUAAAGGGAUCUGUAUGAAGUUAACCUAAUUUUUUAAUACUUAUUUGGAUUGUUUGGUAUCCUAG
RNAcentral lists this long non-coding RNA (1668 nucleotides) under Ananas comosus (pineapple). Its description in RNAcentral is "long non-coding RNA (ACOM_LNC025653)". Lineage: Eukaryota; Viridiplantae; Streptophyta; Magnoliopsida; Poales; Bromeliaceae. The record is from RNAcentral.